UACGGAGGGUGCAAGCGUUGUUCGGAAUCAUUGGGCGUAAAGCGCGUGUAGGCGGCUUGGCAAGUCGGUUGUGAAAGCCCGGGGCCCAACCCCGGAACUGCAUCUGAAACUGCCUGGCUAGAGUCCCGGAGAUGAAGGCAGAAUUCCCGGUGUAGGGGUGAAAUCCGUAGAUAUCGGGAGGAAUACCAGCGGCGAAGGCGGCCUUCUGGACGGUGACUGACGCUGAGACGCGAAAGCGUGGGGAGCAAACAGG
This 253-nucleotide ribosomal RNA is filed under the name uncultured bacterium. Its description in RNAcentral is "partial 16S ribosomal RNA". It matches the Rfam family "Bacterial small subunit ribosomal RNA", at positions 524 to 776 of the family's 1533-position model. The record is from RNAcentral.